This 494-nucleotide ribosomal RNA is filed under the name uncultured bacterium. RNAcentral's name for it is "partial 16S ribosomal RNA". It matches the Rfam family "Bacterial small subunit ribosomal RNA", at positions 28 to 507 of the family's 1533-position model. The record is from RNAcentral.
GACGAACGCUGGCGGCGCGCUUAACACAUGCAAGUCGAACGGAAAGGCCUGCUUUCCCUUGUGGAUUGCGGGUACUCGAGUGGCGAACGGGUGAGUAACACGUGAGUGAUCUGCCCCCAACUUGGGUAUAAGCCUGGGAAACUGGGUCUAAUUCCCGAUAGGACUGCAGGGUGGUGCCUGUGGUGGAAAACGAUUUUCUAGUGGUUGGGGAUGAGCUCGCGGCCUAUCAGCUUGUUGGUGGGGUAAUGGCCUACCAAGGCGGCGACGGGUAGCCGGCCUGAGAGGGUGGACGGCCACAUUGGGACUGGGAUACGGCCCAGACUGCUACGGGAGGCAGCAGUGGGGAAUAUUGCACAAUGGGCGGAAGCCUGAUGCAGCGACGCCGCGUGGGGGAUGACGGCCUUCGGGUUGUAAACUCCUUUCGACCGCGAGGAAGCCACCUGGUUGGAAGGGUGGUGACGGUAGCGGUAGAAGAAGCACCGGCUAACUACGUG